AUUAGUUAGAAAAUUGGCUAAGAUCAAGUGUAGUAUCUGUUCUUAUCAGUUUAAUAUCUGAUAUGCCCUUGAUGAGAGGACUUUAUAUUAAACGGGUUUUUGGCACUGGGAGUUGGGCCCGGAGCUUGCUCCCUCCGCUCCACCCAUCAUCCCGGUAUUGCAGUGCCUCUGGGAACAUUAUUAUUUU
This 187-nucleotide small nuclear RNA is filed under the name Eurypyga helias (sunbittern). Its description in RNAcentral is "U2 spliceosomal RNA". It matches the Rfam family "U2 spliceosomal RNA". Rfam says of the family: U2 is a small nuclear RNA (snRNA) component of the spliceosome (involved in pre-mRNA splicing). Complementary binding between U2 snRNA (in an area lying towards the 5' end but 3' to hairpin I) and the branchpoint sequence (BPS) of the intron results the bulging out of an unpaired adenosine, on the BPS, which initiates a nucleophilic attack at the intronic 5' splice site, thus starting the first of two transesterification reactions that mediate splicing. The record is from Rfam by way of RNAcentral. Lineage: Eukaryota; Metazoa; Chordata; Aves; Eurypygiformes; Eurypygidae.